RNAcentral lists this ribosomal RNA (301 nucleotides) under uncultured bacterium. RNAcentral describes it as "partial 16S ribosomal RNA". It matches the Rfam family "Bacterial small subunit ribosomal RNA", at positions 509 to 809 of the family's 1533-position model. The record is from RNAcentral.
CAGCCGCCACGGUAAUACGUAGGGUGCAAGCGUUAAUCGGAAUUACUGGGCGUAAAGCGUGCGUAGGCGGCUUCUUAAGUCGGAUGUGAAAUCCCUGAGCUUAACUUAGGAAUUGCAUUCGAUACUGGGAAGCUAGAGUAUGGGAGAGGAUGGUAGAAUUCCAGGUGUAGCGGUGAAAUGCGUAGAGAUCUGGAGGAAUACCGAUGGCGAAGGCAGCCAUCUGGCCUAAUACUGACGCUGAGGUACGAAAGCAUGGGGAGCAAACAGGAUUAGAUACCCCAGUAGUCCCUGUCUCUUAUAU